Molecule: unclassified non-coding RNA, 355 nt
Filed under: uncultured Glomeromycotina
Lineage: Eukaryota; Fungi; Glomeromycota
Description: sequence contains 28S rRNA gene
Source: RNAcentral
AGAGUUAAACAGUACGUGAAAUUGUUGAAAGGGAAACGAUUGAAGUCAGUCAUGCUAGUAAGGAAUCAACUUGGUGGUUUACUUCCUUGUGUAUUUUCUUGCUCGGCAGGUUAGCAUCAAUUUUGGUUGUCAUCAAAUAAUUGAGGGAAUGUGGCUUUUCUUCGGAAAAGUGUUAUAGACCUUGAUAGAUGUGGCGACUGGGAUUGAGGUUUGCAGCGGAUGCCUUUGGCUAGUCACCUAUCUUCUGACCGUCACCUCGCUUUUGACAGCUUGCUGAUGAUAGCGGGAUUUGGUGGCCUAGAAGUUAGAAUGUACAUAAAUUCGCUAAGGAUGCUGACGUAAUGGCUUUAAACGA